RNAcentral lists this ribosomal RNA (485 nucleotides) under uncultured bacterium. RNAcentral's name for it is "partial 16S ribosomal RNA". It matches the Rfam family "Bacterial small subunit ribosomal RNA", at positions 28 to 523 of the family's 1533-position model. The record is from RNAcentral.
GAUGAACGCUGGCGGCGCGCCUAACACAUGCAAGUCGAACGGUUAAAGCAUCUUCGGAUGUGUAUAAAGUGGCGAACGGCUGAGUAACGCGUGGGCAACCUGCCCUUUGCACUGGGAUAGCCUCGGGAAACCGAGGUUAAUACCGGAUACUCCAUAUCCAUCGCAUGAUAGAUAUGGGAAAGCUCCGGCGGCAAAGGAUGGGCCCGCGGCCUGUUAGCUAGUUGGUGGGGUAGUGGCCUACCAAGGCAAUGAUGGGUAGCCGGGUUGAGAGACCGACCGGCCAGAUUGGGACUGAGACACGGCCCAGACUCCUACGGGAGGCAGCAGUGGGGAAUCUUGCACAAUGGGCGAAAGCCUGAUGCAGCGACGCCGCGUGCGGGAUGAAGGCCUUCGGGUUGUAAACCGCUUUCAGCAGGGACGAGGCCGCAAGGUGACGGUACCUGCAGAAGAAGCCCCGGCUAACUACGUGCCAGCCGCCGCGGUAA